Fundulus heteroclitus (mummichog) is the source of this 883-nucleotide RNA transcript. It is a transcript of the gene named P2X purinoceptor 7-like, with no coding region annotated. NCBI's taxonomy places the organism in Eukaryota, Metazoa, Chordata, Actinopteri, Cyprinodontiformes, Fundulidae. The record is from RefSeq and is a predicted model, not a curated record. The transcript is spliced from 4 exons.
AGGAGCCGCUGUAGAAUUCCGUGACGUCACACUAGUUAGGAGGUAGUCGGGAAGCGGUCAUUUUACAUAGCGUGUCAGUAUUUUUUCACCUUUGCGAUGGAGUUUGUAUGUUUAAACGAGGACGAAUACGAAGCGAGCCAACUUAAUGUUAAAAACGAGGAGUGCUGUGUCCAGCCAUAUGCGUUUGAGCCGUUAGUUAGGCGUGAAUUACGGGACAACACCGAGGAAAGUGGAGAAAGUAGGAGUAGCGAUGAUGACCACGCUAGUAGGCCGACAACGUCGUCGUCCGACUCAGAAUCUGCCAGUGAAGAGGAUAUUGGCGACCGUUCCCAUCGACUGACAAAUACUGACUGGUGCAAAUGUGGCAACUGUGUGAUUAUGCCCACAGUGGAUGAAUGCAAGUGCUGCACAGAAACGCACCUUGUUGAUCAGGAAGUCGAGUCAGCUGGGUUGCAAUGUAUAACCUUACAUGAAGGCUUUCAGGGAAACUGCCUCAACCAGUAUGUCCUCAAGGCAUCUUUUGUUGAAUUUUUGGAGGGACAUGGUCCUCUUGGAAAUGAUGAACCAGUAAACGAGAUUUACAGGUACAUUGCAUAUAGAAGAAUGAUCAGAUGGAUUUGGGGACGCAUUGGAAAAGGAAAUAGGAAAGUUCUUCCAUCCUGUGCAGUAAAUAAAAUAAGAGAGACCUGGGAGUCAGCAGACUACACUGGUUUUAAAUAUCCAACUGUGUGAACCUCGACUUCCUAGUUGCCACAACUGUUGGAAAGUUCUCAAAUGGGUGUUCAUGGAUGUCUACAAUGUGGUUCAUCACCGACUUCCACUUGGCCACAACCAGCUCAGCAUUUCCAUCACUGCUUGCCCCACACCAAUAUACAUGGUUGGA